CCUACGGGAGGCAGCAGUGAGGGAUAUUGGUCAAUGGGGGAAACCCUGAACCAGCAACGCCGCGUGAGGGUAGAUGGUUUUCGGGUGGUAAACCUCUGUCCUCUGUGAGGAUAAUGACUGUAGCAGAGGAGGACGCUCCGGCUAACUACGUGCCAGCAGCCGCGGUAAUACGUAGGUAGCAAGCGUUGUCCGGAUUUGCUGGGUGUAAGGGGUGCGUAGGCGGGCUUGCAGUGCAGAAGUGAAAUCUAUGGGCUUAAGGCAUAAACUGCUAUUGAAACUGCAAUGCUUGAGUGCAGUAGGGGUAGGCGGAAUGUGUGGUGUAGCGGUGAAAUGCGUAGAGAUCGGGAGGAACACCAGUGGCGAAGGCGUCUCACGGGGCUGCAAUUGACGCUGAGGCACGAAAGCGUGGGUAGCAAACAGGAUUAGAUACCCGUGUAGUC
RNAcentral lists this ribosomal RNA (440 nucleotides) under uncultured bacterium. RNAcentral describes it as "partial 16S ribosomal RNA". It matches the Rfam family "Bacterial small subunit ribosomal RNA", at positions 338 to 795 of the family's 1533-position model. The record is from RNAcentral.